This 5472-nucleotide long non-coding RNA is filed under the name Canis lupus familiaris (dog). RNAcentral describes it as "lncRNA (ENSCAFG00000057550.1)". Lineage: Eukaryota; Metazoa; Chordata; Mammalia; Carnivora; Canidae. The record is from RNAcentral.
ACAUAUUAAUAAGCUGAUGGUUUUUCUCUUGUUAAUCUUUCUUUUCCUUGAAGAGUCCCAGAUAAAAACCUAAGAUGAAGUUUUCCUCCCCUAUACAUACUUCCCAAGUGCUUCUGUCCUCACUCCAGGUCUUCUGGUCUGCCUGUGUCAACCACAGCUGUCACUGAAGGCAUCAUGUGAACAUAGCUCAGGGUCUCCCAGACAUAAAUACCUGUCCAUAAUAGGAUAGAGCAGAACCUUUGGCCUCCAUUCCUAUAUCUCUGUGGUCUGCAUGUUUUCAUCUCCACUUUCCUCAAAGGAGCAUAGAUCCUGCACCAGACAUGUUUCCCUCCUUCAUCCAAAUAACAUCAGAAAGGUCUCUUUCCCCAGAGCCAACUGGAGCAGCAGGUUUUAAACUUAAGGGAACAUCAGAAUCCCCUAAGGGGCAAGUAUGUGAAGACACAGUUUGCUGGAUCCACCCCCCAGAAUCUCUGAUUCAGUAGAUUGUGCAUAGAUAAUUCAUUUCUAACAAGUUCCCAGGUGAUCCUGACACUUCUGGUUCUGAUGAUGCAGGUCCAAACUCUGAGACCCCAGAGUCUACAGCUUAUUUCUCACAUUUAUCCUGUGCAUCAUUGUCUCAUGACAUACUCUAUGCAAGAGUUCCCUUACCACUGGGAAUUUAGGAAGAACAUUGGAAAUGCAGCCUUGGGGAGCCCCUCUUUGAAACUCAAAUGCACAAUAAAGUCUGAGACAUUCAGUUGUGAAAAACAAAAUACAACCUAUCAGUAAGUCCAGAGUUUCCCAAAAUAUUAGCUCAUGCAACUUAUUUUUUCCAGAGCUUUCAUUAACCUCUCAUGGAAUCAGUACCUCUUCAGAAAACACUUUGCAAAACACAUUGGAAGAUCAUAUACUCAUAUGGUUUUGUAUAAUCAUCUGUUGCUACCCAGGAAGGCUUUAAGAAUCUAGGUGGCUAAGCAGACUCCCUGCCACCACAAGGCCAGCCACCUGGGAAGCCAGAUCUCAGCCAGAAUGCUUUCAAUCCCAGCUCCUACCCCAGCUCGUCACAGCUGCUCCAACAGACUGGAGACCCAGGAAGAUAUUUAUAGUCCUUUGGCUUUGUCUUUAUAAAUUCUCACCCUCCAGGACCACAAACAGGCAUCCUGGGCUGGAUCCAGGGGCAAGCCCUGCUGCCCUUUCCUGCUGUACUGUGCUUGGCUAAUGGCUUCAUCACUCUGUAUUUUAAACAUGAAAGGUAAAUACAAAUCAUCAACAUAGUAGUGAAGGUAGAGAGGAAUAAAUCUCAUGUUUACAGAGCUUGGGAAUCAAAAGACAUCUAGUGAGGGUGGCAGGUGCUUUAGGAGGGAGUGUUUAUGGGGGUGGGGGCCUUGAUUUGGAGGCACUGAGUGACAAGUGUAAGCAAAGAGCUUCUUCCCCCUGUCUUAGACCUCAGAUUCCUUUUUAUUGCCAGGCCAUGAAGUUUUCAACUGAAACAGCCAAGGGGUGCCAAACAUUCUUGUUAAUUUGUAUGAAUCCUUUCAGCAAUCUGGUAUCAACUUGAGUACAAUGACAAUUAAUAUGUCAAUUCGUUCUCUCCCCCUCUUCCUCUUCUCUCUCUCCCAGGUCCUGAGCCACUUAUGCUUAUUGCUUUUAGAAGUCAGCCACACUAACACAUCUUCUAACACACACACUAAGACCCUAUAGUCUCUCCGUGCCAGUACCCUAAACCAGGCCCACCUGGGCCAGAGAGGAAUAAUAACCAGUGAGGAAAGAAGGAUCUUGAUCCACUUUGCAAAUCUGCAAAACAAAAGUGAAGAACCACUGCUUAGUUUCUAAUAAGCCAAGUUACCUGUAGCUGGUAGACUGAGAUUGCUUUUCAUUAAUAAAAUGUGUGAAAACCAGUAUGCUUCAGGCCUACAACUGCCUGGAUCACUGGCCAGGCCCAUGUUCCUCAGUAUAUGCCUGCCUCAGUUUUCUGAUCUCUGAAAUGAGGUUAGAUAAUAGGGCCCUUGUGAGGAAUAGUAGUGUUAAUGUAAGAAGAGAAUAGAAUGCCACUAGCACUUGGUAAGCACCUGUAGGAGAGCUCAGGGAUGGCCUCACAGAGCCCUGAGGUUGGACUGCCUGAUGUUUGCUUGCUUUUCUGUUGAAUAACAGCUUUAUUGAAACAUGAUCCACACACUAUAAGGUUCACCCUGUUAAAGUAUAUAAUUCUGUGAUUUUUAGUAUACUCACAGACUAGUGCCACUAUCAUCACUCUCUCAUUCCAUAACAUUUCCAUCACUCUUCCCCAAAAAAUCCCAUGCUCAUUUGCAGUCACUCAUUCCCUGCUGCUCUCACCUGGGGCCCUCGGCAACCACUACUCUACUUUCUGUCUCUAUGUAUUUGCCUGUUCUGGACAAUUCUUUCCAUUUCAUGGAAUCAUACAACAUGUGGCCUUUUAUGUCCGAGACUGUUUACAUUUGAAUCUUGGCCCCAGAGUUCAAAAGUUGUGUGACCUUUAUCCAGUUCUCCCGGAAUUUCUCCAUCUGUGAAAUGGAAUUAAAAUCAUAGUAGAUACACCAUAGAGUCUUUAGGAAGAUUAAAAGUGCUAAUUAAUACAUCUAAAGCACUCACACAGGGCCUAGCUCAUAGGCCCUUGAAUAUGAAUCUCCACUACUGCUACUACUACUAUUACUUGUAUGCUAUUCCUCUUCCCCAAAGCAUGUGGCAACCCAGAGAUGAACAGAUCACAGAGAACACGGCCCUUGCCCUCCCUAGUACUCAGCCUGGUGGGGAUCAUACAAUUAAAAAACCAGCUUGAAUAAAUACAGUAAAGUCUUAUCAUAUGCACAUUUAACUAAUGGAAAUCCAGCUCUUCCACUGAAAAAAGAAGGAAAAAGAACAAUUUAAAUACUGCAAUUAAAUUCUGUAAAAUUAUAUCUUACCUGUAUUCUUUAUUAUGCACUGUACAUUAUGGCAUGCAUUAUACAAUGUUACAUACUGAUUACAAUACAGGGAUGCACACACAAAACCAUACAUACUGCAAUUUAAUGGGCAACUUAAGAUAUUUCAAGGUUAAUGACGACGGCGUCUGCCUUAAACCUUGAUUUUAUAAUCUAACCCCUGAGUAAGAUGCAACUCUAUUGUAUGUCAACAACAGUAACAAUUCAGAAUGAUUCCAAACAAAUGAAAUCAACCAAUGAGCCAUUGGUUGAGGUGAGCUAUAGGGGUUCCACUUGGUCCCAUUUGCCCAAAUACCCAUUAGCACAAUUUCUUCCCUCCACAAGCUCACAGUCUCAUUGUGAGAAUAAACUACAAAAACAGAAUUACAAGAGGUUGCUGAGCAGCAGAAUGGGGUUUAAGAAACAGAUGGAAAUAAUCUCUCACCCUACUAGCUGACAAGACAAGCAGAUAGACAACAGAAGGACUGUGCUCUCCACAGAACUCACCACAUGACAGACAUCAUGUAUAUACCUGUUCAUUUUUUUAUUGUCUCUCCUCCAGCUAGUACAGAAGCUCACCAGGUUAGGGACUUUGUGUACAUUGUUUAUAUCUGUAUUCCCAAUGCUGAAAAGAGUGUUGAGCACCCAGUGGGUGGCCAGUAAGAUUUGUUGGUGAAUGAAUGAAUGAAGGUAACUGUUUAGAUAACCUCCAUUUUUCUCCCAUCUUAUGUCCCCCAAACAACCAUAGUCUGUUCCUCCAACCUCAACUUAUUUAUUCCUUAAUUGUUUAUAAGUAGUGGGAAUAUAUCCAUGCCAAAGAUGAGGCCCAAAGGUAGCAUUCCAGGGCUUUGGCAUACUGGUACCAUCUAGUGGGAAAGAGAGUAUCUGCAGGUGGGUACUAAACCAAACUCGGUGGUUUAAAAAAAAACAAAACAAAUAGAACCCAUAACCCUUCCCUUUAACAUAAGCUCUAUUGAGGAAGUUUUGGGCAAUAUGUAACAGGGCAACUGGUAUCUCUUAUAUACUCACGCCCUAUCCAGGGCACAAACUGCCAAUCCAAGCACCUGUCACACCACUCAGGACUUGCCUAUUUUUCUACUCAGGACUUCUCCAAAACCAUGGUUGCUCCCCCAGAACCACAAAGGCUUAUCAGGGAAGCACAGAGAAACCAAUGGUAUUAGGGGCCACCCUUGACCAAUGGAAGAUGGGCAUAGUGGGUAUACACCCCAGCUUCCUAUCCAGCAAAGAGACUAUUCUAAAGCAGAUUUUAUGCAAUUCUUCUGAGGAGUCCUAGCAAUAAUGAGCCUUAGUUGCCCAUGAUAGUAACCAGAUCAAAGAGCUUUUUUUGGCUUUCCUUCUUUCUUGUUCCUUAUUUCUGUGUCUUAGGGUCAUCUCUCAGAUUAGCUCCCUGCAUCCAAGCCUAUAUCUCCAUCACUUAGGUUGUACUAAGGAAUGCAGCCUAAGAUAGUGUUUAAUACCAAUACACCUUUGAGUGAUGAGGAAGGCUUAAAAAUUGUAGUCCAGAUAAUACUACAAAAGCUGAAUUAUAUAUUUCAGUCCUUGUCUGAGAAUUCUGUUCCAUAGUUAAUCUUUACCUUGAUUAGAGUUAAUGUGGAAUAAUCCAAUGAUACUAUCUUCCUAAAGAAAUACCACAUUCUCACGGUAGCAACAGGCCAAAGAAAACGUCUGGUUUCUUUCCCUGGCCUUGACCCUAUCCCAAUUUGACCAACUGGUGAGGUGGCUGGGGUUCUGAUCAGAAGGUGGCAAAGAAUAGCCCAAGGGCCAAAUCCAGCUCUGCCUGUUUUUCUGAAUAAAGUUUUAUUGAAAACAGCCCAGCCCAUUUGUUCACAUGGUUCGUGCAGCUGUUUUUACGCUACAUUGAUAGUGUUGAGUAACUGCAAAAGAGACAUAUAUUUAUUCUUUACAGAAGAAGACUACCUACCUGUAGUUUAAAUUCUUGGUUACCAUAUUUUUAGAUUCCCAAAAAUAAAAUUUCAAGAAAAACAAAAAAUAUAGAAUGGAUAAAGGUUUGCCAGUGAUACUUUACUGCUCUAUUUACCAUGAUAAAUAGAAGACAAAAAUGGGAUAGGCAGUUAGUUGACUAACUUCAUUUUACAAACAAUAGGACAUUUCAUCUCUAAAACUAGAAAAGAUCAUUGCAUCAGAACAAUGACCUUUCCACCCCAAAAUUGGACUGUGAAUAGACUCAGAACAACUGCCUAUCCCAUUUUGUUUUACAGCAUCACUAUCCAAAAUUAUUGUACUUACUUAUUUUUAAGGUUUACAGUCUUUCUCCCUCAUUAGAACAUAGACAACAAUGAGGGCAGGCAAGCUUGUCUUUCUUCAAUGCGGCUUACCCUGUGGUUGAUCAGUUAAUAUUUGUUAAAUGAAUGACUUAAACAUGAAAUGUACAGAUUGGGAUGCACAGAUACAAAGGUCCUUAGAGGGAUGCCUGGGUGGCUCAGCGGUUGAGUAUCUGCCUUUGGCUGAGGGUGUGAUCCUGGGGGUCCCAGGAUCGAGUCCCGCAUCAGGCUUCCUGCAUGGAGCCUGCUUCUCCCUCUGCCUAUGUCUCUGC